CAUGGUUCAAAAGUGAAAGACGGUCUUGCUGUCACUUAUAGAUGGAUCCGCGCUGCAUUAGCUAGUUGGUAAGGUAACGGCUUACCAAGGCAACGAUGCAUAGCCGACCUGAGAGGGUGAUCGGCCACACUGGAACUGAGACACGGUCCAGACUCCUACGGGAGGCAGCAGUAGGGAAUCUUCCGCAAUGGGCGAAAGCCUGACGGAGCAACGCCGCGUGAGUGAUGAAGGUCUUCGGAUCGUAAAACUCUGUUAUUAGGGAAGAACAUAUGUGUAAGUAACUGUGCACAUCUUGACGGUACCUAAUCAGAAAGCCACGGCUAACUACGUGCCAGCAGCCGCGGUAAUACGUAGGUGGCAAGCGUUAUCCGGAAUUAUUGGGCGUAAAGCGCGCGUAGGCGGUUUUUUAAGUCUGAUGUGAAAGCCCACGGCUCAACCGUGGAGGGUCAUUGGAAACUGGAAAACUUGAGUGCAGAAGAGGAAAGUGGAAUUCCAUGUGUAGCGGUGAAAUGCGCAGAGAUAUGGAGGAACACCAGUGGCGAAGGCGACUUUCUGGUCUGUAACUGACGCUGAUGUGCGAAAGCGUGGGGAUCAAACAGGAUUAGAUACCCUGGUAGUCCACGCCGUAAACGAUGAGUGCUAAGUGUUAGGGGGUUUCCGCCCCUUAGUGCUGCAGCUAACGCAUUAAGCACUCCGCCUGGGGAGUACGACCGCAAGGUUGAAACUCAAAGGAAUUGACGGGGACCCGCACAAGCGGUGGAGCAUGUGGUUUAAUUCGAAGCAACGCGAAGAACCUUACCAAAUCUUGACAUCCUUUGACAACUCUAGAGAUAGAGCCUUCCCCUUCGGGGGACAAAGUGACAGGUGGUGCAUGGUUGUCGUCAGCUCGUGUCGUGAGAUGUUGGGUUAAGUCCCGCAACGAGCGCAACCCUUAAGCUUAGUUGCCAUCAUUAAGUUGGGCACUCUAAGUUGACUGCCGGUGACAAACCGGAGGAAGGUGGGGAUGACGUCAAAUCAUCAUGCCCCUUAUGAUUUGGGCUACACACGUGCUACAAUGGACAAUACAAAGGGCAGCGAAACCGCGAGGUCAAGCAAAUCCCAUAAAGUUGUUCUCAGUUCGGAUUGUAGUCUGCAACUCGACUACAUGAAGCUGGAAUCGCUAGUAAUCGUAGAUCAGCAUGCUACGGUGAAUACGUUCCCGGGUCUUGUACACACCGCCCGUCACACCACGAGAGUUUGUAACACCCGAAGCCGGUGGAGUAACCUUUUAGGAGCUAGCCGUCGAAGGUGGGACAAAUGAUUGGGGUGAAGUCGUAACAAGGUAGCCGUAUCGGAAGGUGCGGCUGGAUCACCU
This 1354-nucleotide ribosomal RNA is filed under the name Staphylococcus aureus. RNAcentral's name for it is "bacterial SSU rRNA". It matches the Rfam family "Bacterial small subunit ribosomal RNA", at positions 188 to 1528 of the family's 1533-position model. The record is from RNAcentral. Lineage: Bacteria; Bacillati; Bacillota; Bacilli; Caryophanales; Staphylococcaceae. RNAcentral also lists the same sequence under 1 other name.